Long non-coding RNA from Vigna unguiculata (cowpea), 460 nucleotides. RefSeq lists it as uncharacterized. Lineage: Eukaryota; Viridiplantae; Streptophyta; Magnoliopsida; Fabales; Fabaceae. The record is from RefSeq and is a predicted model, not a curated record.
UUAAGGGGGCCCCAAGACCCCCUUCUGCUUUCUCGUUUCUCUGGUCUCCGUUUCUGAAGUUGUCUCCUUAUCCCCUCUUGUUCUUCUACUAGGAACUCUGCUAGGGCACGAAAUUGUCCAUCUCGGAGCUAGCAAGACUCGUACUUCUCCAGCUCACUGCCUUGGCCUUGGAACUGAAGUAACCCUUAGUUUCGAGUUUGUUUUCGUUUGGUUAGCCUCUGAGCAAGAUGGGGCAAGUCCUGGUGGUAGAUCCGAUGGGGGCAGUGGUGCUGCAUAGCUGGACCUGUUUCUUGUGGCUCCUAGGAAUGACGUUUUGGCUCUAGGGUUGUUAUAAAACCCUUGUCCUAGGACAAUGUCUCUUUUGAAAAUUAUCUUUUCUUUUGGUUUUUAAUUGUAGUUAAGGCACUGUGAUUCUGCCUAAGACUUUUACAUAUUUAUGGAUGAUUGUAACAGUGACUUC